This 1457-nucleotide ribosomal RNA is filed under the name Streptomyces violascens. Its description in RNAcentral is "bacterial SSU rRNA". It matches the Rfam family "Bacterial small subunit ribosomal RNA". The record is from RNAcentral. Lineage: Bacteria; Bacillati; Actinomycetota; Actinomycetes; Kitasatosporales; Streptomycetaceae.
UACAACAUUUGAAUUGCAUAGUAUGAUUGUCUGACGAUGAUCGCUUUCUAACGGGGAUUAGUGGCGAACGGGUGAGUAACACGUGGGCAAUCUGCCCUGCACUCUGGGACAAGCCCUGGAAACGGGGUCUAAUACCGGAUAUGACCGUCCGCCGCAUGGUGGAUGGUGUAAAGCUCCGGCGGUGCAGGAUGAGCCCGCGGCCUCACUCAGCUUGAUUUGGUGAGGUAAUGGCUCACCAAGGCGACGACGGGUAGCCGGCCUGAGAGGGGCGACCGGCCACACUGGGACUGAGACACGGCCCAGACUCCUACGGAAGGCAGCAGUGGGGAAUAUUGCACAAUGGGCGAAAGCCUGAUGCAGCGACGCCGCGUGAGGGAUGACGGCCUUCGGGUGGUAAACCUCUUUCAGCAGGGAAGAAGCGAAAGUGACGGUACCUGCAGAAGAAGCGCCGGCUAACUACGUGCCAGCAGCCGCGGUAAUACGUAGGGCGCAAGCGUUGUCCGGAAUUAUUGGGCGUAAAGAGCUCGUAGGCGGCUUGUCACGUCGGUUGUGAAAGCCCGGGGCUUAACCCCGGGUCUGCAGUCGAUACGGGCAGGCUAGAGUUCGGUAGGGGAGAUCGGAAUUCCUGGUGUAGCGGUGAAAUGCGCAGAUAUCAGGAGGAACACCGGUGGCGAAGGCGGAUCUCUGGGCCGAUACUGACGCUGAGGAGCGAAAGCGUGGGGAGCGAACAGGAUUAGAUACCCUGGUAGUCCACGCCGUAAACGGUGGGCACUAGGUGUGGGCAACAUUCCACGUUGUCCGUGCCGCAGCUAACGCAUUAAGUGCCCCGCCUGGGGAGUACGGCCGCAAGGCUAAAACUCAAAGGAAUUGACGGGGGCCCGCACAAGCGGCGGAGCAUGUGGCUUAAUUUCGACGCAACGCGAAGAACCUUACCAAAGGCUUGACAUACACCGGAAACGUUCUGGAGACAGGGCGCCCCCUUGUGGUCGGUGUACAGGUGGUGCAUGGCUGUCGUCAGCUCGUGUCGUGAGAUGUUGGGUUAAGUCCCGCAACGAGCGCAACCCUUGUCCCGUGUUGCCAGCAGGCCCUUGUGGUGCUGGGGACUCACGGGAGACCGCCGGGGUCAACUCGGAGGAAGGUGGGGACGACGUCAAGUCAUCAUGCCCCUUAAGGUUCUUGGGCUUGCCACAGCGGGCUACAAUGGGCCGAUAACAAUGAGCUGCGAUACCGUGAGGUGGAGCGAAUCUCAAAAAGCCGGUCUCAGUUCGGAUUGGGGUCUGCAACUCGACCCCAUGAAGUCGGAGUCGCUAGUAAUCGCAGAUCAGCAUUGCUGCGGUGAAUACGUUCCCGGGCCUUGUACACACCGCCCGUCACGUCACGAAAGUCGGUAACACCCGAAGCCGGUGGCCCAACCCCUUGUGGGAGGGAGCUUCGAAGAGUAUAUUUUGUGUAUGUCU